Molecule: long non-coding RNA, 823 nt
Organism: Leopardus geoffroyi (Geoffroy's cat)
Lineage: Eukaryota; Metazoa; Chordata; Mammalia; Carnivora; Felidae
Exons: 3
Source: RefSeq, a predicted model, not a curated record
UGCUACCCAUGGGAGGUCUUUGAGCAAUUCACCACCCAGGAACCCAAAACGAACUAGAUGAACUCUGCUUAAAACAAUAAGCCGAAGGUUUCUGUAUUGUAUUACCUCACCAGGCAAAAGUGACGAGAAGAAAUGGGAAUAUAAGAAGGAAAUAGGUCUAAUUAGCCAGGAAAAUGGGCUGGAUUCCUUCUCAAGGUCACUCUAACCUCUAAGGAAUCUAUGUCUAAGAACAGAGCCUCCUUCUCUCUUACCUCCAUCCUGAUCAGGCAAGAUGAGAAGGUUGAGAUCCAAAAAGAUCAAUCAAUUUGCCCAAAAUUUUGACAGGUGUUUUUCAGUGAGCACCACCAUGAACUAAACCCUGGGAAUAGAAAGAAAUUUAACACUUUGGAGGUGGAAAUCAAUCUGUAAAGUUGUCCAUCCAUUGGGGAAAAUAUGUGACAAAUAUGAUUAAUGACAAAAGUAUGAAAUCCAUAUAGCAAGGCAAGUUGAGAAAUAGCUGAUGUAAAGUUUUAGGAGAAGGAAAUGCUCACAUGUAGUUUUAAGUUAAAAAAAAUGAAAGAGGAAAUACUAAAUUAAGGUUAUUUUGUUCUUCUCUUUUUAACAGAAGGUUGAAACUAUUUGUGGAUUGUUACAGAAGCUUGAUUUGUUCUCAAAAAUGUAUGAUAUAUAAAAUCAACUCAUUUUGCUUUAAGAUGUCUCCCAUCAAUACCAACUUUCGGAUCAAGAACUAAAAGAAAUAUAUCCAUAUUAUAUGUAAUCUUUAGCUUUAUGGCAAUUAGGAUGAAACAGAGUCAACUCAAUGAAAAUGAGUUUUUUAAUUGUU